Molecule: ribosomal RNA, 671 nt
Filed under: Bacillus cereus
Lineage: Bacteria; Bacillati; Bacillota; Bacilli; Caryophanales; Bacillaceae
Description: bacterial SSU rRNA
Rfam family: Bacterial small subunit ribosomal RNA
Source: RNAcentral
UGGGACUGAGACUUGGCCCAGACUCCUACGGGAGGCACCAGUAGGGAAUCUUCCGCAAUGGACGAAAGUCUGACGGAGCAACCCCGCGUGAGUGAUGAAGGUUUUCGGAUCGUAUAGAUCUGUUGUUAGGGAAGAACAAGUGCCGUUCAAAUAGGGCGGCACCUUGACGGUACCUAACCAGAAAGCCACGGCUAACUACGUGCCAGCAGCCGCGGUAAUACGUAGGUGGCAAGCGUUGUCCGGAAUUAUUGGGCGUAAAGGGCUCGCAGGCGGUUUCUUAAGUCUGAUGUGAAAGCCCCCGGCUCAACCGGGGAGGGUCAUUGGAAACUGGGGAACUUGAGUGCAGAAGAGGAGAGUGGAAUUCCACGUGUAGCGGUGAAAUGCGUAGAGAUGUGGAGGAACACCAGUGGCGAAGGCGACUCUCUGGUCUGUAACUGACGCUGAGGAGCGAAAGCGUGGGGAGCGAACAGGAUUAGAUACCCUGGUAGUCCACGCCGUAAACGAUGAGUGCUAAGUGUUAGGGGGUUUCCGCCCCUUAGUGCUGCAGCUAACGCAUUAAGCACUCCGCCUGGGGAGUACGGUCGCAAGACUGAAACUCAAAGGAAUUGACGGGGGCCCGCACAAGCGGUGGAGCAUGUGGUUUAAUUCGAAGCAACGCGAGAACCUUACCA